RNAcentral lists this long non-coding RNA (200 nucleotides) under Trifolium pratense (red clover). RNAcentral's name for it is "long non-coding RNA (TPRA_LNC005806)". Lineage: Eukaryota; Viridiplantae; Streptophyta; Magnoliopsida; Fabales; Fabaceae. The record is from RNAcentral.
AGAGUUUGAGCAGCACAAAACAAGAAAAUCUUGGUGGAUAUAUAUUAGUGUCUCAAAACUCUCCCCUAAACUCUCUCUUCAUUGGCGAUGAGGUCACAAAUGCACCUCACUGUUGCCGCAAUGGCAGUUGUCGUGACUGCAUGGUUAGCCUAUAACCGUGACGUGACAGAUACAUCAACCUUCGGAGUUUCCGAUGUUUG